Quercus lobata is the source of this 3493-nucleotide long non-coding RNA. RefSeq lists it as uncharacterized. The record is from RefSeq and is a predicted model, not a curated record. The transcript is spliced from 11 exons. Lineage: Eukaryota; Viridiplantae; Streptophyta; Magnoliopsida; Fagales; Fagaceae.
AGUGCAAAAUUAAAAGAAAAGGAAAUAUUCAACUUGGGAUUAUGCUGGAACUCAAUAGCAGUGGACAGGUAUGAUAAAGAUGAAAAGGUGUUGGAAGGCCUCCAUCCUCACCCAAAUUUGAAAAGCUUAACAAUCGAAUGGUAUGGAGGAAAGAAAUUCCCAUCUUGGGUUAAUGAUUUGUCGCUAUUUCACAAUCUGAUUCAUAUCAAAUUGAAUUGGUGUGUAGAAUGUGAAGAAGUUCCCACUCUGGGGCAUCUACCCUGUCUUAGGGUUCUUAAAAUAUAUGGAAUGGAGAAUGCAAGAAGUAUAGGAAGUGGGUUUUACAGUUACAGUGAUGGGAGUUACAGAAAUACUACUACAUUAUUUCCGGCAUUGAGAACACUCGAAUUGAAGGAGAUGUAUAACUUAAAAGAGUGGAAGGAUACAAAGGAGUUGACAAGCGCAUCUUGCAAGAAGAUUCCAUCUUGGAAAAUAACCAACUCAAUGACAACUGGUGCCAAGUUCCUUCAGGUUUGGAAAAUAACCAACUCGAUGACUGCUGAUGCCAAGGUACUUCAGGAAAAUGCAAUUGAGACAAUAUGCCUAUUGUUUCCAGUUGGCGGAACAAUUGAUUAUAAUUGCAAGCUGAUGAACAAAGGAGGAAUGUAUAUACUUAAUAUUGAGAGAGCAAUCUUCAAGGACAAGGAGGAAGCUGGGGUUGGGCUGAUAAUCAGAGUUGCACAGGGACUACUUAUAGCUGUGAUGAGUAAGAGAAGUUUGUUUAUGAAUCCAACGAAAUCGAGGUGAUUGUUGCUGACUGCUGAUAGAGUGCUGAGUUUUGCAAACUAUCAAAUAUAUGAAGGUACAUAUGAUCUGUUUGCAUCUAGGAAAAUAAUCAACUUGAUUCAACUGAUGCCAAGGCACUGGGUAUAGCAUAUCUAUUGUGUUUAGCUGGAGGAAAAAUUUAUUCAUGGAGCUUUAACACUGCCAAGAAAACGGAAGAGAAGAAUAUCCAUCACUGCCCCAAAUCAAAGGAAAGUUGUGCAAAGGGGAGCGGUGCAGAGUGGGUGGUCUAGGAUUUCCUUUCCACAUUCCAAAUAUCAUUUUUUGAUGAAUUUAUCAAAGAAGAAGCAGUUUGAAGAUCAUAUACAUUAUUAAGAUGGAUGACUAGUAAGUUCUCUCACCUCAUCCUCCUUUCUUUUCUAAUACUCUCCUUAACAACAACAUAAGAGUUUUUUAUUUUUAUUUGCUCCCAAUUCCUUCAUUUCUCCUUUAAUCAAUAAAAAAGUUGCCAUUAAGUGCAGACACUAGGGACAGUAUAUCUAUUGUAUUCCGCUGGAGGAAAAAUGAAUUAACUUAUGGACUUUUAAUCUAGCCACAAGCUAUAGGAAGUUUAUGAGAAUUGGUAGCGCUUGACAUUUCUUCUAAUGUAAAAGCCACCAGAAUUCCUUAUUUAUCAGAGGAUUUUUUUUUUCCAAUGUCAAGGAUAUUUCGCACACCACCCUUUUUGGAGCCUAAUCUUCUUUUGGUUGUCAGAGCUAUUUGGCCAGCUUUGACUCCUAUAUGUGCUUAGUUGGAGGCAUUAAAUUUUGAUAAUGUUGGAGCCUCUGCAUAUGUUCUAUGGUAACUUUCCGUCUUUGUAAGAACUGAAGUUCUGGAACAAGAACUGCUACUACCUACCAACAAUGCAGGAGGUGCCCUUGCUUUCUAUGGAAAGCUAAAUGGAAGAUUCCUGGAGUCGUUGUCAAUGCUUGAUGCUUUGUUUCUUACUGUUUGCUAGAGUUCCAUUGGUAGAAGAUUGGUCAUAUUCCAAGAAUCACAGUGGGGAAAUUUAAAUUGGUUCCAAUGCAAUUGACUUGGUGAAAUUUGCACUGGCAUAUCUAAUGUGUUCAGCUGGAGGAAACAUUUAUUCAUGGAGCUUUUAACCAACCCCGAAUCCAACCGAAGAGCUAAAUAUCCUGUCAUUGCUCCAAAUUAAUUGAAAGAUGUGAAAAGGGGUGUGGUGCAGAGCGGUCUAGGAUUUCCCACAUUCCAGAUAUCUAUUUUAAUGAAUGUAUUAAACAAGAAGCUGUCUAAAGAUCAUUAUUCAGAUGGAUGACCAGUAAGUUUCAACAAUUAAAUUCUCUAACAUGGUAGAAGUUCUUUUGUAAUAUAAAAAGAAAUGGAAAAGAAUCAGUCUUCUUUUUGGUCAAUCAUAUGUCAACGGUGAAAAUUAGGCUAUUGGAUGGACCCUACUCUUAACAUAUUUGAGAAUGUCUUAGACAAUAAGAGGAAAGCCACCUAUUGUUCUUACAUGAGCUGUACAUUUGCAAAAAGCUGCAAUAUCCACUUAUGGUGUAACUGGCUCAUUGCAAUAUCUCCUUAUGAUAGGAGCUGUGGUAACUUUUCAUCAUCUUAGGAACUGAAAUUCUGGAACAAGAACUGCUACUACUUAUCAGAAAUUCAGGAGGUGCUCCCUUUUUGUGGAAAGCUAGAUGGAAGUAUCCUAGAAUGGUUAUUGAAGCCCAAUGUUUUGUUUCUAACUGGUCACUUUGCAAGGGAUAUGGAAUCGGCAAGAGUGGUCCAAGAAUUGCAAUGGAGGGAAUUUAAAAUUGAUUCCAACGAAAUUGUUUCAUUGAAAUUUGAUGCUUCACGAUUGUUUGGGGUUGGGGUAACUAUUUAUCUCUUCAAGAAUAGAAGCUCAGGAGCAAGAGUGCUACUACCUACCAGCAAAGCAAGUGGCGCACUCACUUUCCAUGGAAAGCCAAAUGAAGAACUGAAGCUUGAAUUGGUUCCAAAUUUCCAAUCUAAUUGUUUCAUUGAAAUUUGAUAUAAAAGGAGCAACAAAACCAACAUUUAUAUGAAGGCAUAAAUACACUGUGGAAAUGGCUCUGCUUGACUGCAUGCAAAGAAAUGAUGACAAUACUAAAAGUCCUAUCAGCCCCUCUUUGAAGCUUCUCCAAGGUUCAAAGUGGUUGCCUACCUCCUCAUCUCCUACAUUUGGAAAGGAUCUUGACCCAAAAGGAAUAUGUUCAUCAUUACAAGAAAUGAGUUCCCACCAAAUUGAAGAAGGCCAAGAAUUUGAGACAUACUCUUAGCAUGAAAAAACAUAAUCAGGAUGUUAGCACCACACCUUCUUGGGUUGUCAGGUUGGAUGAUGAUGAAGAUGAAGAAGAUCCUGAAUUCUAUGGAAGCCCAGCAUUUGAAUCAAGGCUGGCUCCUGAGGGGUACAAGGAAACCACUAGACAUGAUCCAAGAGCAAUACAUAAGAAUUUUGGGAAGCAUGUUUUGGAACGCACUGUCAAUCUUACUAUUAAGAAUAAAAACAGAUGCCUACAAGUCUUAAAAGGACAUUAACUGAAACUGUAACUGAAAAUUUGGCAUCAGCUUUUGCUGCUACGGUAUCAGAAAUUCAGAGUGCUUUCCACAAAUUUAUUGUCUCUGUUGCUACUGAAAGAGGAAAGCAAGAUAAUAAGGGUGAGCAAAUAUGGAUAAGGUUGUUUCAAUGAAGGAGUAUCUCAUGUAUAGUUUUCGU